ACACUCCUGCGGGAGGCAGCAGUGGGGAAUUUUGGACAAUGGGCGAAAGCCUGAUCCAGCAAUGCCGCGUGAGUGAAGAAGGCCUUCGGGUUGUAAAGCUCUUUUGUCAGGGAAGAAACGGUGAGAGCUAAUAUCUUUUGCUAAUGACGGUACCUGACGAAUAAGCACCGGCUAACUACGUGCCAGCAGCCGCGGUAAUACGUAGGGUGCAAGCGUUAAUCGGAAUUACUGGGCGUAAAGCGUGCGCAGGCGGUUUUGUAAGUCUGAUGUGAAAUCCCCGGGCUCAACCUGGGAAUUGCAUUGGAGACUGCAAGGCUAGAAUCUGGCAGAGGGGGGUAGAAUUCCACGUGUAGCAGUGAAAUGCGUAGAUAUGUGGAGGAACACCGAUGGCGAAGGCAGCCCCCUGGGUCAAGAUUGACGCUCAUGCACGAAAGCGUGGGGAGCAAACAGGAUUAGAUACCCGUGUAGUCCC
RNAcentral lists this ribosomal RNA (472 nucleotides) under uncultured organism. Its description in RNAcentral is "partial 16S ribosomal RNA". It matches the Rfam family "Bacterial small subunit ribosomal RNA", at positions 333 to 797 of the family's 1533-position model. The record is from RNAcentral.